GAUGAAGAACGUAGCGAAAUGCGAUAAGUAAUGUGAAUUGCAGAAUUCUGUGAAUCAUCGAAUCUUUGAACGCACAUUGCGCCCGCCAGUAUUCUGGCGGGCAUGCCUGUUCGAGCGUCAUUUCAACCAUCAAGCCCCAGGCUUGUGUUGGGGACCUGCGGCUGCCGCAGGCCCUGAAAACCAGUGGCGGGCUCGCUGUCACACCGGGCGUAGUAGAUUUUAUCUCGCUCAGGGCGUGCUGCGGGUUCCGGCCGUUAAAAAGCCUUUUUUACCCAAGGUUGACCUCGGAUCAGGUAGGAAGACCCGCUGAACUUAAGCAUAUCAAUAAGCGGAGGA
RNAcentral lists this unclassified non-coding RNA (336 nucleotides) under soil metagenome. Its description in RNAcentral is "partial contains 5.8S ribosomal RNA, internal transcribed spacer 2, and large subunit ribosomal RNA". The stretch from base 1 to 120 matches the Rfam family "5.8S ribosomal RNA", at positions 35 to 154 of the family's 154-position model. The record is from RNAcentral.